UUAGGUAUUAGUGGCUUGAGCAUCUCAAUAAGAAAGUUUAAAGAGGUCUUUGGUGGAUUGGGCUCCACCACGCCACACUCAUCUACUUCUAUCACUGUAAUCAUGCAUAAAUAUUUGUAAUAGGACAAUGCAUUAAGUGUUUUGUAAACCUUGAAGAUCACCUCUUCAUCAUCAACCUUUAUUGUGAGCGUGCCCUCUCUUACAUCUAUCAAUGCUCCUUUCG
This 223-nucleotide long non-coding RNA is filed under the name Capsicum annuum. RNAcentral's name for it is "long non-coding RNA (CANN_LNC001974)". Lineage: Eukaryota; Viridiplantae; Streptophyta; Magnoliopsida; Solanales; Solanaceae. The record is from RNAcentral.